This 364-nucleotide long non-coding RNA is filed under the name Nicotiana tabacum (common tobacco). RNAcentral's name for it is "long non-coding RNA (NTAB_LNC011996)". Lineage: Eukaryota; Viridiplantae; Streptophyta; Magnoliopsida; Solanales; Solanaceae. The record is from RNAcentral.
GAGAAGUAAAGACAAAGGUUUUUGGCGUGAUUUUUGCUCAAAGGACUCGAGUGAAACAGGGUGGAGCCUCAGAAGAGACGAAAAUGGAGAAUGAUCAGCCAAGCCAACGGUGAACCAUUUCACAACAGCAUCAUCAGUGUAAGCGACAUUCUUCCUAGGGAAAUUCUUUUCCUUUCUCUUCUGCUGAUCACCUCCAAACGAAUUGAGAUUUACUUUUUUCCUGAAGCUAGGUAACAGAUGAGUCUCCAGUGCCGGAGUUGGCUCCGGCAACGGCAAACCUUUUGAGUGCCUCUUGUGCGGUGGAAUAUAAGCCAUGCCCAACUAUGUAUGAUCGAUCAGUUGUGAAAGAGUAUUUAUGUGUUUG